GUGGGGAAUCUUAGACAAUGGGGGCAACCCUGAUCUAGCCAUGCCGCGUGAUCGAUGAAGGCCUUAGGGUUGUAAAGAUCUUUCAGCUGGGAAGAUAAUGACGGUACCAGCAGAAGAAGCCCCGGCUAACUCCGUGCCAGCAGCCGCGGUAAUACGGAGGGGGCUAGCGUUGUUCGGAAUUACUGGGCGUAAAGCGCACGUAGGCGGAUUGGAAAGUUGGGGGUGAAAUCCCGGGGCUCAACCCCGGAACUGCCUUCAAAACUCCCAGUCUUGAGGUCGAGAGAGGUGAGUGGAAUUCCGAGUGUAGAGGUGAAAUUCGUAGAUAUUCGGAAGAACACCAGUGGCGAAGGCGACUCACUGGCCCAAUACUGACGCUGAGGCGCGAAAGCGUGGGGAGCAAACAGGAUUAGAAACCCGAGUAGUCC
RNAcentral lists this ribosomal RNA (425 nucleotides) under uncultured bacterium. RNAcentral's name for it is "partial 16S ribosomal RNA". It matches the Rfam family "Bacterial small subunit ribosomal RNA", at positions 354 to 796 of the family's 1533-position model. The record is from RNAcentral.